Long non-coding RNA from Daktulosphaira vitifoliae (grape phylloxera), 318 nucleotides. RefSeq lists it as uncharacterized. Lineage: Eukaryota; Metazoa; Arthropoda; Insecta; Hemiptera; Phylloxeridae. The transcript has 3 exons. The record is from RefSeq and is a predicted model, not a curated record.
AAAAAUUACUUACAGUAGUGAAAAAAAUUUACACUAACCCAAUGACACUCUUGAAAGUAUGCCUUUGUUGCUCUUUGAUCUUUUAUUAAAUAACUAAAAAAAAAAUUCGAUUGAUUAUUAUUCAGGAAAAUUGCUUUUGAUAAUGGACAAUCUUAGUAAUCUUGAAAUCAAAUAUGGUCAAGAUGAUUGUGUUGAACCCUUAAAUGGUAAUCAAAAUGUACUACAUAUAGGUGUCACUAUAAAUGAAUGCACUGGACUACAAGAAACUUUCAUCAAAAUCAAAAAUAUACUUUUUAAAUCAACUGUUUUCAAAUCUGC